CCUACGGGAGGCAGCAGUGGGGAAUAUUGGGCAAUGGAGGAAACUCUGACCCAGCGACGCCGCGUGCGGGAUGAAGGCCUUCGGGUUGUAAACCGCUUUCAGUAGGGAAGAAGCGAAAGUGACGGUACCUACAAAAGAAGCACCGGCUAACUAUGUGCCAGCAGCCGCGGUAAUACAUAGGGUGCAAGCGUUGUCCGGAAUUAUUGGGCGUAAAGAGCUCGUAGGUCGUUUGUUACGUCGGAUGUGAAAACCUGAGGCUCAACCUCAGGCCUGCAUUCGAUACGGGCAAACUAGAGUUUGGUAGGGGAGACUGGAAUUCCUGGUGUAGCGGUGGAAUGCGCAGAUAUCAGGAGGAACACCAAUGGCGAAGGCAGGUCUCUGGGCCAAUACUGACACUGAGGAGCGAAAGUCUGGGGAGCGAACAGGAUUAGAUACCCUGGUAGUCCAGACCGUAAACGGUGGGCACUAGUUGUGGGAACCUUCCACGGUUUCUGCGACGCAGCUAACGCAUUAAGUGCCCCGCCUGGGGAGUACGAUCGCAAGNUUAAAACUCAAAGGAAUUGACGGCNGAGAGNGCGAGACGACACGAGGAGAG
RNAcentral lists this ribosomal RNA (595 nucleotides) under uncultured bacterium. Its description in RNAcentral is "bacterial SSU rRNA". It matches the Rfam family "Bacterial small subunit ribosomal RNA", at positions 338 to 948 of the family's 1533-position model. The record is from RNAcentral.